This 433-nucleotide ribosomal RNA is filed under the name uncultured bacterium. Its description in RNAcentral is "partial 16S ribosomal RNA". It matches the Rfam family "Bacterial small subunit ribosomal RNA", at positions 29 to 507 of the family's 1533-position model. The record is from RNAcentral.
AACGAACGCUGGCGGCAUGCCUAACACAUGCAAGUCGAACGAGACCUUCGGGACUAGUGGCGCACGGGUGCGUCACCCGCCGGAAGCUGCCCUAACGGUCCGAAUAACUCCCCGAAAGGGAUGCCAAUACGGGAAAAUCUCUUCGCACCAAAGAUUUAUGGACCUUGGAGGGGACCGCGUUGGAUUAGCUAGUUGGGAGGGUAAAAGCCUACCAAGGCGACGAUCCGUAGCUGGUCUGGGAGACAGAUCAGCCACACUGAGGCUGAGAGUCGGCCCAGACUGCUGCGGGAGGCGGAAGUGGGGAAUGCUGGAGAGCGGGCGGAAGGGUGAGCGACAAAUGCGGCGAGAGUGCUGCAGGCAGUAGGGUUGUAAGGCUGUUUUACCCAGGAUGAUAAUGACAGUACCGGGAGAAAAAGCGCCGGCUAACUCCGUG